RNAcentral lists this ribosomal RNA (432 nucleotides) under uncultured archaeon. RNAcentral's name for it is "bacterial SSU rRNA". It matches the Rfam family "Archaeal small subunit ribosomal RNA", at positions 19 to 458 of the family's 1478-position model. The record is from RNAcentral.
GGACCCGACUGCUAUCAAAGUGGGACUAACCCAUGCGAGUCAACAUAGCAAUAUGUGGCAUACGGCUCAUUAACACGUAGUCAACAUGCCCAGGGGACGUGAAUAACCUCGGGAAACUGAGGAUAAACCGCGAUAAGUCACUACUUCUGGAAUGGGUAAUGACUCAAAUCUACAUGGCCCCUGAAUUGGACUGCGGCCAAUCAGGCUGUUGGUGAGGUAAUGGCCCACCAAACCUGUAACCGGUACGGGCUCUGAGAGGAGGAGCCCGGAGAUGGGCACUGAGACAAGGGCCCAGGCCCUAUGGGGCGCACCAGGCGCGAAACCUCUGCAAUAGGCGAAAGCCUGACAGGGUUACUCUGAGUGAUUUCCGUUAAGGAGAUCUUUUGGCACCUCUAAAAAUGGUGCAAAAUAAGGGGUGGGCAAGUCUGGUGU